Molecule: ribosomal RNA, 544 nt
Filed under: uncultured kinetoplastid
Lineage: Eukaryota; Euglenozoa; Kinetoplastea
Description: bacterial SSU rRNA
Rfam family: Eukaryotic small subunit ribosomal RNA
Source: RNAcentral
GCUGUUAAGGGUUCGUAGUUGAAUUGCAGGCUUUCGAGAUGUCAAGACAGUCCUAUCCACUCUGGGUACGUGACUCCUUGUGCUUGAAGCUUGAGAACAUGGAAACUAUCAUCACGGGGCGUUUUCCUCCAUUCACGCGCGCAAUGUGCGCAGGGGGACGUCCGUGUCUUUUACUGUGCUAAAAAAGGGCGACUAAAGCAGUCCAUCGACAUGAAUUAGAAAGCAUGGGAUAACAAGGAGCAGCCUAUAGGCUACUAGCUUUUGUUGGUUUUACACGUCUGUGGGAGAUUAUGGGUCGCAUGACAAGCGGGUCGGGGCUCGUCCCCACGCCUCCCCAGUUCCGUGUACUCCCUGUGGGUCCGGGCUGUGGGCUUGCGACGCCCAGGAAUGAAGGAGGGUUGUUCGGGGGAGAACGUCUUGAGCGAGAGAGGUGAAAUUCUGAGACCGCUCAAAGACGAACUACAGCGAAGGCUUCUCCAAGGAUACCUUCCUCAAUCAAGAACCAAAGUGUGGAGAUCGAAGAUGAUUAGAGCCAUUGUAGUCC